GACUGCUAUUUGGGUGAGGAUAAGCCAUGCGAGUUGUAUGGGAUCCCUAAAGUUCCCAUAGCAAACUGCUCAGUAACACAUGAUCAACUUGCCCUAUGGAGAGCACUAACCUCGGGAAACUGAGGAUAAUGGCUCAUACUUGAUUAGGCUUGGAAAAGUUUUUCAAUGAAAUGCGUAAGAAAAAUGGUUCUUAUGCGCCAUAGGAUAGGAUCGUGCUCGAUUAUGGUAGUUGGUGAGGUAACGGCUCACCAAGCCGAUAAUCGAUAGGGGCCGUGAGAGUGGUUGCCCCGAGAUGGGUACUGAGACAGCGACCCAGGCCUUACGAGGCGCAGCAGGCGCGAGACCUCCGCAAUACACGCAAGUGUGACGGGGUUACCCAAAGUGUCCUUAUUGGACUGUGGCGGGUGAGUAAUGUUCCCCGCUAGAAAGGAGAGGGCAAGGCUGGUGCCAGCCGCCGCGGUAAAACCAGCUCUUCAAGUGGUCGGGAUAAUUAUUGGGCUUAAAGUGUCCGUAGCCGGUUUAGUAAGUUCCUGGUAAAACCGGGCAGCUUAACUGUCCGUAUGCUAGGAAUACUGCUAUGCUAGAGGGCGGGAGAGGUCUGAGGUACUACAGGGGUAGGGGUGAAAUCUUAUAAUCCUUGUAGGACCACCAGUGGCGAAAGCGUCAGACUGGAACGCGCCUGACGGUGAGGGACGAAAGCCAGGGGAGCGAACCGGAUUAGAUACCCGGGUAGUCCUGGCCGUAAACGAUGCAUACUAGGCAAUGGUGCGGCCAUGAGCCGCAUCAGUACCGUAGGGAAACCGUUAAGUGUGCCGCCUGAGAAGUACGGUCGCAAGGCUAAAACUUAAAGGAAUUGGCGGGGGAGCACCACAAGGGGUGAAGCCUGCGGUUCAAUUGGAUUC
RNAcentral lists this ribosomal RNA (902 nucleotides) under uncultured crenarchaeote. RNAcentral's name for it is "bacterial SSU rRNA". It matches the Rfam family "Archaeal small subunit ribosomal RNA", at positions 25 to 913 of the family's 1478-position model. The record is from RNAcentral. Lineage: Archaea; Thermoproteati; Thermoproteota.